This 1499-nucleotide ribosomal RNA is filed under the name Salmonella enterica. RNAcentral describes it as "partial 23S ribosomal RNA". It matches the Rfam family "Bacterial large subunit ribosomal RNA", at positions 1465 to 2925 of the family's 2925-position model. Lineage: Bacteria; Pseudomonadati; Pseudomonadota; Gammaproteobacteria; Enterobacterales; Enterobacteriaceae. The record is from RNAcentral.
AGGGGGGACGGAGAAGGCUAUGUUGGCCGGGCGACGGUUGUCCCGGUUUAAGCGUGUAGGUAUGUGUUCCAGGUAAAUCCGGUUCACUUUAACACUGAGGCGUGACGACGAGGCACUACGGUGCUGAAGCAACAAAUGCCCUGCUUCCAGGAAAAGCCUCUAAGCAUCAGGUAACAUCAAAUCGUACCCCAAACCGACACAGGUGGUCAGGUAGAGAAUACCAAGGCGCUUGAGAGAACUCGGGUGAAGGAACUAGGCAAAAUGGUGCCGUAACUUCGGGAGAAGGCACGCUGACACGUAGGUGAAGUGAUUUACUCACGGAGCUGAAGUCAGCCGAAGAUACCAGCUGGCUGCAACUGUUUAUUAAAAACACAGCACUGUGCAAACACGAAAGUGGACGUAUACGGUGUGACGCCUGCCCGGUGCCGGAAGGUUAAUUGAUGGGGUCAGCGCAAGCGAAGCUCCUGAUCGAAGCCCCGGUAAACGGCGGCCGUAACUAUAACGGUCCUAAGGUAGCGAAAUUCCUUGUCGGGUAAGUUCCGACCUGCACGAAUGGCGUAAUGAUGGCCAGGCUGUCUCCACCCGAGACUCAGUGAAAUUGAACUCGCUGUGAAGAUGCAGUGUACCCGCGGCAAGACGGAAAGACCCCGUGAACCUUUACUAUAGCUUGACACUGAACAUUGAGCCUUGAUGUGUAGGAUAGGUGGGAGGCUUUGAAGUGUGGACGCCAGUCUGCAUGGAGCCGACCUUGAAAUACCACCCUUUAAUGUUUGAUGUUCUAACGUGGACCCGUGAUCCGGGUUGCGGACAGUGUCUGGUGGGUAGUUUGACUGGGGCGGUCUCCUCCUAAAGAGUAACGGAGGAGCACGAAGGUUGGCUAAUCCUGGUCGGACAUCAGGAGGUUAGUGCAAUGGCAUAAGCCAGCUUGACUGCGAGCGUGACGGCGCGAGCAGGUGCGAAAGCAGGUCAUAGUGAUCCGGUGGUUCUGAAUGGAAGGGCCAUCGCUCAACGGAUAAAAGGUACUCCGGGGAUAACAGGCUGAUACCGCCCAAGAGUUCAUAUCGACGGCGGUGUUUGGCACCUCGAUGUCGGCUCAUCACAUCCUGGGGCUGAAGUAGGUCCCAAGGGUAUGGCUGUUCGCCAUUUAAAGUGGUACGCGAGCUGGGUUUAGAACGUCGUGAGACAGUUCGGUCCCUAUCUGCCGUGGGCGCUGGAGAACUGAGGGGGGCUGCUCCUAGUACGAGAGGACCGGAGUGGACGCAUCACUGGUGUUCGGGUUGUCAUGCCAAUGGCACUGCCCGGUAGCUAAAUGCGGAAGAGAUAAGUGCUGAAAGCAUCUAAGCACGAAACUUGCCCCGAGAUGAGUUCUCCCUGAGACUUUAGGUCUCCUGAAGGAACGUUGAAGACGACGACGUUGAUAGGCCGGGUGUGUAAGCGCAGCGAUGCGUUGAGCUAACCGGUACUAAUGAACCGUGAGGCUUAACCUUACAACGCCGAAG